CACCGCUGCCACCCCAGAGCCGCUUUAGGCAAAUGCAUUUAAAUGCCUCCACUUUUGAUCUCAGUUUGCCCAGUGGGUUCUAUGGAAGGGUGUGCCUCAACAUAAAGCUUGCAUAAACACUCCAAAAGAACAUCAGGCCAGGGCCAGAAGCAGCACAAGCACAGCUUCUCAUGGUCUUCGGGCACUUCCAUUGCCUACUGCAGCCAGAAGAGGAGCAAUAGAGCUGUUACAGGGACAUGAAAUGCUUGUGAAGAUGAACAGCUACAGAAUAUUCCAAAAUUAUCCAGAGGGAGAGGUGAAUUCACAUGAAUGCAGCUCUGAACUUGGGGUCUUCAAUGACCAAGGACAACACCUGGGAGUUGGGGGUGAUGGUGGAGGGAGAGGGGAUGGGCAUGUUAAAGGAGCUUUUGUUUGUUGGACUUCCUCGCUGCAAGCUGAGAACCUGAGGCAAAGGACACUGCCCAACCUACUCUGGUGUGGUUGUUUCGCUCAUGGUCAUAUGCUUCUGAAUCCUGCUUGCAGUGUUUUCCCAAGUUAAUGCCAGAUUUCUUUCCCCUUUGUAUUAAAAGUUUCUUUUCUAUACACAGACUCGGUGCUUGCAAGAGGGGAAGUAUUGCCUCUUAGAGGUGCCAAGGGAUGGUGUAUAAUUUUCACU
This is a long non-coding RNA of Mauremys mutica (yellowpond turtle), 655 nucleotides long. RefSeq lists it as uncharacterized. Lineage: Eukaryota; Metazoa; Chordata; Testudines; Geoemydidae. The transcript is spliced from 3 exons. The record is from RefSeq and is a predicted model, not a curated record.